This 252-nucleotide ribosomal RNA is filed under the name uncultured bacterium. Its description in RNAcentral is "partial 16S ribosomal RNA". It matches the Rfam family "Archaeal small subunit ribosomal RNA", at positions 474 to 727 of the family's 1478-position model. The record is from RNAcentral.
UACCAGCACCCCGAGUGGUCGGGACGUUUAUUGGGCCUAAAGCAUCCGUAGCCGGUUCUACAAGUCUUCCGUUAAAUCCACCUGCUUAACAGAUGGGCUGCGGAAGAUACUAUAGAGCUAGGAGGCGGGAGAGGCAAGCGGUACUCGAUGGGUAGGGGUAAAAUCCGUUGAUCCAUUGAAGACCACCAGUGGCGAAGGCGGCUUGCCAGAACGCGCUCGACGGUGAGGGAUGAAAGCUGGGGGGCAAACCGG